Molecule: ribosomal RNA, 112 nt
Filed under: Acromyrmex echinatior (Panamanian leafcutter ant)
Lineage: Eukaryota; Metazoa; Arthropoda; Insecta; Hymenoptera; Formicidae
Source: RNAcentral
AUCAACUUCUAUUCCAUGUCCAAACUAGUUCUCGUCCGAUCACUGAUGUCAAGCGACGUUAAGCAAGAUUAGUACUUGGGUGACCGUUUGAGAACAUCGUGUGAAAUUGAUA